GACGAACGCUGGCGGCGUGCCUAAUACAUGCAAGUCGAACGCACUCUCGUUUAGAUUGAAGGAGCUUGCUCCUGAUUGAUAAACAUUUGAGUGAGUGGCGGACGGGUGAGUAACACGUGGGUAACCUGCCCUAAAGUGGGGGAUAACAUUUGGAAACAGAUGCUAAUACCGCAUAAAACCUAACACCGCAUGGUGUAGGGUUGAAAGAUGGUUUCGGCUAUCACUUUAGGAUGGACCCGCGGUGCAUUAGUUAGUUGGUGAGGUAAAGGCUCACCAAGACCGUGAUGCAUAGCCGACCUGAGAGGGUAAUCGGCCACACUGGGACUGAGACACGGCCCAGACUCCUACGGGAGGCAGCAGUAGGGAAUCUUCCACAAUGGACGAAAGUCUGAUGGAGCAACGCCGCGUGAGUGAAGAAGGUUUUCGGAUCGUAAAACUCUGUUGUUGGAGAAGAAUGUAAUCUGAUAGUAACUGAUCAGGUAGUGACGGUAUCCAACCAGAAAGCC
RNAcentral lists this ribosomal RNA (506 nucleotides) under uncultured bacterium. RNAcentral describes it as "bacterial SSU rRNA". It matches the Rfam family "Bacterial small subunit ribosomal RNA", at positions 28 to 492 of the family's 1533-position model. The record is from RNAcentral.